GAUGAACGCUGGCGGCGUGCCUAAUACAUGCAAGUCGAGCGAACGGACGAGAAGCUUGCUCCUCUGAUGUUAGCGGCGGACGGGUGAGUAACACGUGGAUAACCUACCUAUAAGACUGGGAUAACUUCGGGAAACCGGAGCUAAUACCGGAUAAUAUUUUGAACCGCAUGGUUCAAUAGUGAAAGACGGUUUUGCUGUCACUUAUAGAUGGAUCCGCGCUGCAUUAGCUAGUUGGUAAGGUAACGGCUUACCAAGGCAACGAUGCGUAGCCGACCUGAGAGGGUGAUCGGCCACACUGGAACUGAGACACGGUCCAGACUCCUACGGGAGGCAGCAGUAGGGAAUCUUCCGCAAUGGGCGAAAGCCUGACGGAGCAACGCCGCGUGAGUGAUGAAGGUCUUCGGAUCGUAAAACUCUGUUAUUAGGGAAGAACAUAUGUGUAAGUAACUGUGCACAUCUUGACGGUACCUAAUCAGAAAGCCACGGCUAACUACGUG
Molecule: ribosomal RNA, 497 nt
Filed under: uncultured bacterium
Lineage: Bacteria
Description: partial 16S ribosomal RNA
Rfam family: Bacterial small subunit ribosomal RNA
Source: RNAcentral